This 253-nucleotide ribosomal RNA is filed under the name uncultured bacterium. RNAcentral's name for it is "partial 16S ribosomal RNA". It matches the Rfam family "Bacterial small subunit ribosomal RNA", at positions 524 to 776 of the family's 1533-position model. The record is from RNAcentral.
UACGUAGGGUGCAAGCGUUAAUCGGAAUUACUGGGCGUAAAGCGUGCGCAGGCGGUGAUGUAAGACAGGUGUGAAAUCCCCGGGCUUAACCUGGGAACUGCAUUUGUGACUGCAUCGCUGGAGUGCGGCAGAGGGGGAUGGAAUUCCGCGUGUAGCAGUGAAAUGCGUAGAUAUGCGGAGGAACACCGAUGGCGAAGGCAAUCCCCUGGGCCGGCACUGACGCUCAUGCACGAAAGCGUGGGGAGCAAACAGG